Rattus rattus (black rat) is the source of this 1019-nucleotide long non-coding RNA. RefSeq lists it as uncharacterized. The record is from RefSeq and is a predicted model, not a curated record. NCBI's taxonomy places the organism in Eukaryota, Metazoa, Chordata, Mammalia, Rodentia, Muridae. The transcript is spliced from 2 exons.
GUCCUCAGGAGCAGCAAGGGCAGCCUCUUCACAACUUCUAACUCAGAAAGCCACUCAGUGGCUGGGAGAUCGGGCCUUGUGGAACAAGUACACCGGACGCUGGAAGCCUGAAGGGAAGAACACAGAGGCAGAAACCCAACUCACUGUGAGAGACUUUCUCCUGCAGUAGGACGACCACGGUUGGGGCUCCAGGACCAGAAUGCCCCCAGGUCGCAGAUGCCGGUAGAUCCGGCGGAACAUUCUCUUCAGCCCCUCAUCACCCCAGUUCAGGUGCACCCACUUGGUGAGGCUGAAGCAGAGCACCACAUCAUACUCAGGUCUUUGGGCAUCCACCAGCUCAUCUCUGUCCAGGACAUAGUUACCCUGUGGGCCAGAAGAGGGGAAGAUGUCAAAAAGAGGGACGAGACGCACUGCUGGCCCCACAACCACCUGAGGACUGAGAACCUCACUUCAGCCCUGUGGCCUCCUGAGGCCCUUCCCAACAGCACCCUCUUUCAGCCCCGUGUUCUCUUCUUCCUUUUAAGUUCCUGGUGCUAAACCAAACAAACUUAAAGGGGAGCCUGGGUAGGUUUAAAUUGAGCUAAUUUAUCUAAUGGUUAACUGGAGAAAUUACAGUGUUCCCAAAACCCUUACCCAGGAGACCUCACAUACAAAGGCCAUGCACUGUUUUAAAGACAGAGACUCUUAAGCCGUGUUUCAGGCCUGUUCUUUCUCUAAGGAAAUAACCUUAGGAAAUCUCUUUUUAAAGAAGGUAAACUCAUCACCAUUCCUGGGGAGACAUUUCCCAGGCCAAGCUACUGGCAAAAGUUCCCCUGGAUGGCCUAACAACUGUGUAAUGGAGGGAACUAGCAUGAUGUCAGGCUGGGCACUCGCUCCAUGUAGAGCCCUGCCUUCACUGCCCCUUCUCACUGCUCAGUCAGCAUGGGAAGACAAGCCCAUGAGUUCCUGACCAGUAAUUUCAGCAGUCUGUGCUGCAUCUGGGGAAAAAAGGCAAAUAAAGUCCCUAUCAAGGUCCCAAA